UACGUAGGGUGCAAGCGUUAAUCGGAAUUACUGGGCGUAAAGCGUGCGCAGGCGGUUUUGUAAGUCUGUCGUGAAAUCCCCGGGCUCAACCUGGGAAUUGCGAUGGAGACUGCAAGGCUGGAGUCUGGCAGAGGGGGGUAGAAUUCCACGUGUAGCAGUGAAAUGCGUAGAGAUGUGGAGGAACACCGGAUGGCGAAGGCAGCCCCCUGGGUCAAGACUGACGCUCAUGCACGAAAGCGUGGGGAGCAAACAGG
This 254-nucleotide ribosomal RNA is filed under the name uncultured bacterium. RNAcentral describes it as "partial 16S ribosomal RNA". It matches the Rfam family "Bacterial small subunit ribosomal RNA", at positions 524 to 776 of the family's 1533-position model. The record is from RNAcentral.